AUACUUACCUGGACGGGGUCGAUGGGUGAUCAAGAAGGUCCAUGGCCUAGGUUGGCGACCUCCAUUGCACUAGGGAGGGGUGCCCGUCUAACAUCUCCCCUAGUGGGAGAGUGUACGUCAUAAUUUGUGGUAGAGGGGGGGUACGCGUUCGCGCGGCCCCUA
This 162-nucleotide small nuclear RNA is filed under the name Nelumbo nucifera (sacred lotus). Its description in RNAcentral is "U1 spliceosomal RNA". It matches the Rfam family "U1 spliceosomal RNA". Rfam says of the family: U1 is a small nuclear RNA (snRNA) component of the spliceosome (involved in pre-mRNA splicing). Its 5' end forms complementary base pairs with the 5' splice junction, thus defining the 5' donor site of an intron. There are significant differences in sequence and secondary structure between metazoan and yeast U1 snRNAs, the latter being much longer (568 nucleotides as compared to 164 nucleotides in human). Lineage: Eukaryota; Viridiplantae; Streptophyta; Magnoliopsida; Proteales; Nelumbonaceae. The record is from Rfam by way of RNAcentral.